This 88-nucleotide transfer RNA is filed under the name Candidatus Gracilibacteria bacterium 28_42_T64. RNAcentral describes it as "tRNA-Ser". It matches the Rfam family "tRNA". From Rfam's summary of the family: Transfer RNA (tRNA) molecules are approximately 80 nucleotides in length. Their secondary structure includes four short double-helical elements and three loops (D, anti-codon, and T loops). Lineage: Bacteria; Candidatus Altimarinota. The record is from RNAcentral.
GGAAGGGUGUCUGAGUGGUUGAAAGAGCACGCUUGGAAAGCGUGUGUGUCUCACGACACCGCGGGUUCGAAUCCCGUCCCUUCCUCCA